Heterocephalus glaber (naked mole-rat) is the source of this 674-nucleotide non-coding RNA. Lineage: Eukaryota; Metazoa; Chordata; Mammalia; Rodentia; Bathyergidae. The record is from RefSeq and is a predicted model, not a curated record.
CUCCAGUCUUCACCUUCACCUUGGACGUCAUCUCCUGGCUUCCAGUGCAAACUCUUCAACUUCUGUGGCAGAUCCUUCAGCCUUCCAGUGUAGACUCUUCAGCUUUCUAUCGCAGACCUAUCGGCCUUCUGUUAUGGACUCACACGGGACACUGCAAUGAGCUCCAGACCUUCAACUAAAUCCUUCAGGCUCCAAUGUGCAGACAGAUCCUCUGCACCCUUCCUCAUCUGACUGUGGGCGUCCAUUGUAUAAAGAUAGGUGCCCCCAUCAAAGGAAGAAGUUGUUCUGAGAAAAUAAAGACAUUAUACAGAAGGCGGUACAGGCAUGGUGCUGUUUCUGCUGUUUACAACAAUCUUGGUUGACUGCCACUUUAUCCAAGGGACAUCUCUACCUUGUGCCACUGAAUACCACCUUCUUACCAGUCACUGCUGCCUCAUACUUGGGUAUGAACCAGCCCAAGGUCCAUCCCUGGACAUGGAACAUAGUUUGGCGGUUGUCAGAAGCUUGGAGAAGAGAAUGGGGAGCAACUGUUUAAUUGGUAUAGCGUUUUCUUUUGGGGCAAUACAAAUGUUUGGAAACUAAGUUAAGGUGGUGGUUGUACAACAUUAUGAAUAUACCAAAUGCCAUAGUGUGUGUGUGUGUUUGUACUGGGGAUGGAACCCAGUGCCUUGUAU